AUUGAACGCUGGCGGCAGGCUUAACACAUGCAAGUCGAACGGUAGCAGGAAGAAAGCUUGCUUUCUUUGCUGACGAGUGGCGGACGGGUGAGUAAUGCUUGGGAAUCUGGCUUAUGGAGGGGGAUAACUGUGGGAAACUGCAGCUAAUACCGCGUAAUCUCUGAGGAGUAAAGGGUGGGACCUCUUGGCCACCUGCCAUAAGAUGAGCCCAAGUGGGAUUAGGUAGUUGGUGGGGUAAAGGCCUACCAAGCCUGCGAUCUCUAGCUGGUCUGAGAGGAUGACCAGCCACACUGGAACUGAGACACGGUCCAGACUCCUACGGGAGGCAGCAGUGGGGAAUAUUGCGCAAUGGGGGGAACCCUGACGCAGCCAUGCCGCGUGAAUGAAGAAGGCCUUCGGGUUGUAAAGUUCUUUCGGUAAUGAGGAAGGGAUGUUGUUAAAUAGAUAGCAUCAUUGACGUUAAUUACAGAAGAAGCACCGGCUAACUCCGUGCCAGCAGCCGCGGUAAUACGGAGGGUGCGAGCGUUAAUCGGAAUAACUGGGCGUAAAGGGCACGCAGGCGGACUUUUAAGUGAGAUGUGAAAUCCCCGAGCUUAACUUGGGAAUUGCAUUUCAGACUGGGAGUCUAGAGUACUUUAGGGAGGGGUAGAAUUCCACGUGUAGCGGUGAAAUGCGUAGAGAUGUGGAGGAAUACCGAAGGCGAAGGCAGCCCCUUGGGAAUGUACUGACGCUCAUGUGCGAAAGCGUGGGGAGCAAACAGGAUUAGAUACCCUGGUAGUCCACGCUGUAAACGCUGUCGAUUUGGGGAUUGGGCUAUAUGCUUGGUGCCCGAAGCUAACGUGAUAAAUCGACCGCCUGGGGAGUACGGCCGCAAGGUUAAAACUCAAAUGAAUUGACGGGGGCCCGCACAAGCGGUGGAGCAUGUGGUUUAAUUCGAUGCAACGCGAAGAACCUUACCUACUCUUGACAUCCAGAGAAGCUUGCAGAGAUGCGAGUGUGCCUUCGGGAGCUCUGAGACAGGUGCUGCAUGGCUGUCGUCAGCUCGUGUUGUGAAAUGUUGGGUUAAGUCCCGCAACGAGCGC
This 1082-nucleotide ribosomal RNA is filed under the name Pasteurella multocida subsp. septica. Its description in RNAcentral is "bacterial SSU rRNA". It matches the Rfam family "Bacterial small subunit ribosomal RNA", at positions 28 to 1099 of the family's 1533-position model. The record is from RNAcentral. Lineage: Bacteria; Pseudomonadati; Pseudomonadota; Gammaproteobacteria; Pasteurellales; Pasteurellaceae.